RNAcentral lists this non-coding RNA (216 nucleotides) under Peptacetobacter hiranonis. RNAcentral's name for it is "Clostridium hiranonis T-box sequence". It matches the Rfam family "T-box leader". Rfam says of the family: Uncharged tRNA acts as the effector for transcription antitermination of genes in the T-box leader family. T-boxes are found upstream of many aminoacyl-tRNA synthetase genes and some amino acid biosynthetic genes usually in Gram-positive bacteria. Lineage: Bacteria; Bacillati; Bacillota; Clostridia; Peptostreptococcales; Peptostreptococcaceae. The record is from RNAcentral.
GAAAAGGCAAUGAAGGAGCUAAGUAAAAAACAGUUCUGUUUACAGAGAGUGAGUGGUCGGUGUGAACUCAUAUCAGUGGUUUUUGAAUCUACUCUGGAGCUUCUAAUCUGAAAUAAGUUAGACGUAUUCCUACGUUACAGGAUUUUGAGAGGAAUGUGCAUUUAUAGGUGCAUUCAAUUAGGGUGGCAACGCGGAUAACAGAUUUUCGUCCCUUUU